Molecule: non-coding RNA, 114 nt
Filed under: Streptococcus uberis
Lineage: Bacteria; Bacillati; Bacillota; Bacilli; Lactobacillales; Streptococcaceae
Description: PreQ1-II sequence
Rfam family: PreQ1-II (pre queuosine) riboswitch aptamer
About the family: Q is a hyper modified nucleoside present in some anticodons in tRNAs (Try, Asn, Asp and His).
Source: RNAcentral
UAUGCUAUAAUAAUGGAGUUGCAAAGCAACCUUGGUGCUUAAGUUCCUUUCACCAAGCAUAUUAUACGCGCACUGAAGUAUCAACUUUAUGUGACGCCAAAGGAGAAAAUAAUG